CUCCGUCGGUGGACACAGCAAACACACAGCAAGCACACACAUGUAUGCUUUAGCUUUUACACGAGCUCUUACACGUAAGAGUAGUUUUAACUCCCUCCUCUCUCCCACACGUCUCUUUCGCUCCCUGAUCCCUGCACAUGUAUGCAUGCACUUCUCUCCUGCUCUUCCUCCGCACGCCGAGCACGCCGCUCACCUCAUCUCUCUCAGCUUUCCUCUCUCUGUCGGCAUCUCAGUUCUCUUCUAGUCGCUCUUCUACUCCACCAAAGCAGCACAACAACGAGUAGCAUGCCUCCCCGCCAUCUCCGCUCGAUCUUUCCCUCCUGUCUUUCUUCUCUAGCAGCUCUCACGGAUCCUCUCUCUCCCUGAUCUUCUUCUGUUCUUUCUUCAUCCAUCGAUCGCAAGAACAAGUCGCUUCUCUCGGCCAACAAGCAAACACUAGCAGCUGCAACUCCAGUCGCCAUCUCGCUGCCCUUUCUCUCUCCGGCAGACCAUGCAGGAAGCAAAGCAGAGCUCCCUGCUCUCUGCUAGCAGCAGCAAGAAGCCGCCACGCCUUUCCGUGCCGCCGACCUCCGCCGUCGUGCGUCGCGGACCGGCUCCUUCGGCUCUCCUCCGUCCAGUCCGAAGCCACGAGCAGCACCAACAGCACCGCCGACGCCGACGCCGGCCACAAGUCGGAGGAGCUGCCGGGUCGGAAGCUGCAACGCCGCUGCGCCAACCACGACGACGACCACCGCGAGCUCGAGGAUGCCCAUGCCGCCGGCGCCGACCCGUUGAACCGCAAGCGAUCCGCGAGCCUGCCCGCGUCACCACGCCGGCCACGCCUUCACCGUCGACCCACGACAACGAGACGUUCGUGACUGCGCCAGACGCCGAGCGAGACACUGAGCUAUUACUUGAGAGUUGAGAAUAUGAACGAUUGGUAACAAGGCAAGCACCCCCUUGAUCAUUUUUGCUCCUAUUUAAAUUCCUAAGCCUACAAAUAUAUGCAUGCGAUGAUGAUUUUAUGAGUCCAAAUGUCAUUUUAUGUCGGGUAGACACGUCCUAUUUUAAUGCAUUUACAUUUCUUGUUAUUUUAUAUCUUUUUUAUACCUUGUCACCCUAAGGUUAUGGGUUAUUCGCGUAGUGCAGAGUCACAUGCUUAGUUGGCUUAGUAUUUUGUGCAGUAGUUAAUUAGCAUCACAUGGGUUGGUGUCUUUUAAAGAAAAUAUAUAUUUAUAAGGUUAUUUUUAAAGGAUAAAAACUUUAUGGUAGACGUGGGUGAAUAUAUGGUCUAGCGGUUUUGAUGGUAUGAGGAUGAAGGAAAAGAAUAUGGAUGGUAAAAUGGAUGGAAAAAAUGGAUGAUGGAUAUGGCUUGGUUCUGUAUGCGUUUCCGGCGCAUUUUAGGGAUUUAUCACCCGUGUCAAAUUAAGGAUCGAUAAUUGGCAUUAUUCUAGUCAAGUAUUACAGUGAACCAUACGGUUAAUGGGCACUGGCCUUAACUUAUUAAGUCAGUCGGCCCAAGAGGAUGCUACCGCCCGAGUGCUCGAGGAGCUCGUCGGUGUCGGGGUAGCUAACCCGGUCAGAUGUACGGAGCCGCGAUACUCCGAUAGUCUGUCGUGUAGCAUAUUUUGGGUCCGACUGAUGUAACGGCUCUGUCAUGUUAGCUUGCCGACACAUAUAAUGAAUUGUGUAUAUGCGUGCUGAUUCCGUGCUGGCAUCAAAGCGAAACAUGUCAUAUGGGUAAAGUGUACAACUUCUGCAGAGUGUAAAACUAUUCGAAUAGCCGUGCUUACGGUCAAGAGCGCUUGAGCUAGUCGCCGGUUUUAGAAGUUUUGGUUUGAAGGAUCAAAGGAUGAUGGACCGAUUAAGAGGAUCAAAGGUCUGCAAAAUGGGAAAUGGGGAGUCAUGAUUGGUGAUGUCAGUCUAUUUUAUAUAAAAUAAAAUAAUUUCAAAACUAUGCGUAUAAAGAUACACCCAAAUAAAAUGCAGCAUAGUGCUAGUGAACCUGUCAGCCUUCCUUGAUUGACCAUGCAUAUAUUAUAGGAUUUUUUGAUAUACAAUCGAAGUCUUGCGAGUACAAAAUUGUACUCAUUCUUGUUGCUAAAAUUUUAAAAUCCAGAGUUCGAAGAAAAGCCGUCUCAGUUCAGUUCCUUGCUGAAGGAUGCGGGUUUUCGACGAUGGUUCUUUCUAGGACUAACUCCCAGUCAGUUGCCUGUGGUAAUGGCGAGGCACACUACAGUAGGAUGGAAGUCCUAUAUUUCUGUUGCUUCUGCUACAAAUUAUUGGCUCUGAUUAAAUUAUAAUAUCACUAACAUAUUUUUGAGUGCAGUUGUGAUACCGGUGCUGUUGUGCGAAAAACAUGCGGACUGAUAAUGGGACAAGUACAGCAAGACACAACGAUAAACCGGGUAUUUAUACGCCUGGGGCCCACAAUUCCAAUCCCGCAAGCGAGCGCCAGCAAGCUUUGUAGCAAUCGAUCCACCUGCACGAAAUCAUUGCUGCCCUUCCACGUGUGUGUAGCCCUGCAACUGCUUUUCCCUUCCGUUUUCUUUUCCGCAUGAAGCAUCUCUUCCCUCAAAUCCAACUACAAUCCCUCCCGCAUUGAAGGCACAAGCUGUGUAUGUAUGUACGCAUGUAUGCUUCUCGUGCAUGUACAGAAUAUAUAAGAGCCUAGUUAUCUUGUUGGAAUCACAUUGCAUAUGUGAGAGCCUUAGCCACAAACUUCUAGAUAUUCAAACUCUAUGGUUAAUUAAUAUCACUACACACUGAUGUGAUAUGCCUAGGUAUCAAUUACUUUCUUUUUUCUUUUUCCUUUACAUUUUGUGAUACCUAGUAUUUACUUUCUUUUCCCUUUUUCAGUCUUUUUUAAUUACCUUCUUUAUGUUGUGUUUUUGAGUUGUUCUUCUAAUAAAUAUUUUGUACAAAACUUGCUAAAAAGUUAUAUCGAGAACUUAUACUUUUUACAUA
Long non-coding RNA from Panicum virgatum (switchgrass), 2946 nucleotides. RefSeq lists it as uncharacterized. The record is from RefSeq and is a predicted model, not a curated record. NCBI's taxonomy places the organism in Eukaryota, Viridiplantae, Streptophyta, Magnoliopsida, Poales, Poaceae. The transcript has 2 exons.